Molecule: ribosomal RNA, 1242 nt
Filed under: metagenome
Description: bacterial LSU rRNA
Rfam family: Bacterial large subunit ribosomal RNA
Source: RNAcentral
UGAAUACGAGACGCUAAGGCGUCGAAGUAGUGUAUGUCAUACUUCCAAGAAAAGCUUGCACUGUCAUAGAUAAAAAACGCCUGUACCAUAACCGACACAGGUGGGUAGGUAGUAUACUAAGGGGCGCGAGAUAACUCUCUCUAAGGAACUCGGCAAAAUAACUCCGUAACUUCGGGAGAAGGAGUGCCUUAUUCGUAAGGUUGCAAUAACAAGAUCCAAGCAACUGUUUAUCAAAAACACAGGUCUCCGCUAAGUCGUAAGACGAUGUAUGGGGGCUGACGCCUGCCCAGUGCCAGAAGGUUAAAGAAGUUGGUUAGCAAUUGCGAAGCUGAUAACUGAAGCCCUGGUGAACGGCGGCCGUAACUAUAACGGUCCUAAGGUAGCGAAAUUCCUUGUCGGGUAAGUUCCGACCCGCACGAAAGGCGUAAUGAUUUGGAUACUGUCUCGGAGAGGGGCUCGGUGAAAUAGACUUGUCUGUGAAGAUGCGGACUACCUGCACCAGGACAGAAAGACCCUAUGAAGCUUUACUGUAACUUGAAAUUGAAAUUGGACUUUAUUCGCGCAGUAUAGGUGGGAGGCGUUGAUUAUAAUCUUGUGGGAUUAUUGGAGCCAUCAGUGAGAUACCACUCUUGUAAUGUUAGAUUUCUAACUUUGAAUCAUUAUCUGGUCAAAGAACAGUUUCAGGCGGGCAGUUUGACUGGGGCGGUCGCCUCCUAAACGGUAACGGAGGCGUACAAAGGUUUCCUCUGAACGGUUAGAAAUCGUAUCUAGAGUGUAAAGGCAUAAGGAAGCUUGACUGUGAGACCUACAAGUCGAGCAGGGACGAAAGUCGGUCUUAGUGAUCUGACGGUACUGAGUGGAAAGGCCGUCACUCAACGGAUAAAAGUUACUCUAAGGAUAACAGGCUGAUCUCCCCCAAGAGUUCACAUCGACGGGGAGGUUUGGCACCUCGAUGUCGGCUCAUCGCAUCCUGGGGCGGUAGUACGUCCCAAGGGUUGGGCUGUUCGCCCAUGAAAGCGGUACGCGAGCUGGGUUCAGAACGUCGUGAGACAGUUCGGUCCAUAUCCGGUGUAGGCGUUAGAAUAUUGAGAGGAGCCUUCUUUAGUACGAGAGGACCGAGAAGGACAUACCUCUGGUGUACCAGUUAUCGUGCCAACGGUAAACGCUGGGUAGCUAUGUAUGGAGUGGAUAACCGCUGAAAGCAUCUAAGUGGGAAGCCCACCUCAAGAUAAGUAUUCUCAU